AUAUAUAUAUAUAUAUAUAUAUAUAUAUAUAUAUAUAUAUAUAUAUAAUAUAAUUCCCUACAUUUAUAUAGCACUUUUCUAUACACUCAAAGCGCUUUUACAUUGUAUGGGGGGAAAUCUCCUCAACCACCAACUGUGUGUAGCAUCCACCUGGAUGAUGCGACGGCAGCUGUAGUGCACCAGAACACCUAGCAUGCACAAGCUAUUGGUGGAGAGGAGUGUGAUGUAGCCAAUUCAGGCAUGGAGAAAGGUAAGACCUUUUGCAAUUUAAAUUCGUAAUUAUCGAGGAUCAGGCCCUUUACUUUCUCCUUAAGAUCGCUGAAAUAGCUUUUCACCUCUUUUAGCUGGCUCCAGUUGUUGAACAUGUAGUCAACAUAUUCUUCUGAUGAAACGCUGGCCGGAUGAUCGUAAAACUUCUCACGUGGAGUUACCCUUUCAAGCUCCUUGUCCGCAACUUUCCACUGCUCUACGGGUUCUUCUGGCUGACCAUAAUUGCCAUCAUAUCGAUGGGUAAACCAAGGUUGGUAAAUUGAGAUGGUUGAUUUUUUGUAGGUCUUGUACUGCUUCAUCAGCUCCUCUAAGUCGAAUUGGUAGCCGUCAAGCACAGUGUUGAUGGAAGUCAGGUAGACAUGAAGUUGUGCCUUGCGUUCUGUGGUGCGUUGUAUCUUCAUUCUCGCUGCAUGGAUGAGCAUCUGCAGAUGGAAAGCUGCGCCAUUGGCCCAGUGCUUCAGGGCGCGGGAGCUCAUUUGGUUAUCGUGCAGCAUGGAGUUUCUCAGACGGGUCAGCUGUUCACUCAGCUGUUUCUCCAGGCGUUCGGUCUCCUCUAUUGCUCGGGUCGGUUGCUGUAGAUUCAUACGUAGACGUUUCAAGUACUCGUCCAUCGAGUCUCUCACACUUGAAGCCUUUUCCUCAGCGAACACACGGCGCAUCAUGUCCAGUGUGCUGUGUUUACUCUCCGUUUCCUCCUGUAGACCCCUAAUUAUGAGCUCCAGGGCUAUGGACAGGACCAAUCCGCCUAAACCCACCGCGUUUGGUACACGUUUAAAACCAGUUAAAAUAGAACCCAGACUUUCCACAUAGUCCGGAGUCUUGCUGCUCAUGUGUUCUAGUACAUGGGUGACGGAGCUCUCUAGCUCAGCUGCUGAGUUUAAUCCGGAGUACUUCACCAAAGAGCCAUCGAUACCAAUAUCAGGUAUUAAAUCAGCUGACUCAGCAGUUGUUAACAUCCGUCUGCAAAAAAUGAUUCUAUGUACUUUACAUUGAGUGUUUCCCAUCGCGUUUCCCAUCCCAUCAACAGCACCACGGUAAAAACUAUAAAUCUUUAUGUUCUGAAGGAACCCAGAAACGUAUUAAGCGCAGUCCAGGCACUGAGAGUCCGCUAUCCCUGCACUUUCACUUUCUCUUCCCUCUUUUGUAACUUUUUAACCCUUCAGACUCCGGUUAAAGGAGCCCCUCUUCCAGAAAGCACGUACAUACAUUUUUAGAGGCGCGGCUUUUACACACAUAGCGGUAACAGCACCGAAAGAGGAAAACGAGCGUCCGCGAGCUUCCACACAACAAAAGCAAAUGAACAAUGCUCAUAUUAAAUAAAUAAAAAAACAAACAACAAUCGAC
This is a long non-coding RNA of Ictalurus punctatus (channel catfish), 1614 nucleotides long. The record is from Ensembl. Lineage: Eukaryota; Metazoa; Chordata; Actinopteri; Siluriformes; Ictaluridae.